RNAcentral lists this ribosomal RNA (440 nucleotides) under uncultured bacterium. Its description in RNAcentral is "partial 16S ribosomal RNA". It matches the Rfam family "Bacterial small subunit ribosomal RNA", at positions 339 to 795 of the family's 1533-position model. The record is from RNAcentral.
CUACGGGAGGCACCAGUAGGGAAUAUUGGACAAUGGGCGAAAGCCUGAUCCAGCAACACCGCGUGCACGAUGACGGCCUUCGGGUUGUAAAGUGCUUUUAGAGGAGAUGAGAAAGGACAGUAUCCUCUGAAUAAGCCUCGGCGAACUACGUGCCAGCAGCCGCGGUAAAACGUAGGAGGCAAGCGUUAUCCGGAUUUAUUGGGCGUAAAGCGCGUGCAGGCGGUCUAGCAAGUUGGAUGUGAAAGCUCCCGGCUCAACUGGGAGAGGUCGUUCAAUACUGUUAGACUAGAGAAUAGGAGAGGGAGGUGGAAUUCCGGGUGUAGUGGUGAAAUGCGUAGAUAUCCGGAGGAACACCAGUGGCGAAAGCGGCCUCCUGGACUAUUUCUGACGCUAAGACGCGAAAGCUAGGGUAGCAAACGGGAUUAGAUACCCCGGUAGUC